GGCCGGAUAGCUUAGAGGUCAAAGCUUUUCCGAUUAAUGAAAGCGACCCAGGUUCGACUCCUGGUUCAGCCG
RNAcentral lists this transfer RNA (72 nucleotides) under Microbotryum lychnidis-dioicae p1A1 Lamole. Its description in RNAcentral is "tRNA-Sup (TTA) (tRNA-Sup-TTA-10-1)". It matches the Rfam family "tRNA". From Rfam's summary of the family: Transfer RNA (tRNA) molecules are approximately 80 nucleotides in length. Their secondary structure includes four short double-helical elements and three loops (D, anti-codon, and T loops). Further hydrogen bonds mediate the characteristic L-shaped molecular structure. tRNAs have two regions of fundamental functional importance: the anti-codon, which is responsible for specific mRNA codon recognition, and the 3' end, to which the tRNAs corresponding amino acid is attached (by aminoacyl-tRNA synthetases). tRNAs cope with the degeneracy of the genetic code in two manners: having more than one tRNA (with a specific anti-codon) for a particular amino acid; and 'wobble' base-pairing, i.e. permitting non-standard base-pairing at the 3rd anti-codon position. Lineage: Eukaryota; Fungi; Basidiomycota; Microbotryomycetes; Microbotryales; Microbotryaceae. The record is from Rfam by way of RNAcentral.